This 251-nucleotide ribosomal RNA is filed under the name uncultured prokaryote. RNAcentral describes it as "partial 16S ribosomal RNA". It matches the Rfam family "Bacterial small subunit ribosomal RNA", at positions 524 to 774 of the family's 1533-position model. The record is from RNAcentral.
UACGGAGGAUGCGAGCGUUAUCCGGAUUUAUUGGGUUUAAAGGGUGCGUAGGCGGCUUUUUAAGUCAGCGGUGAAAUUUUGCAGCUUAACUGUAACAGUGCCGUUGAUACUGCAUGGCUAGGAUUUGGUUGCUGUGGGUGGAAUGUGUGGUGUAGCGGUGAAAUGCUUAGAUAUCACACAGAAUAUCAGUUGCGAAGGCAGCUCACAAAGCCAAGAUUGACGCUGAGGCACGAAAGUGUGGGGAUCAAACA